CAUCACUAACAAUCUCUCUCUUUCUUGAUGAAAAAUCAUUAGUCUCAUAAAAAACAUGCAUUGAUUCUUCUAUAACUAAGUUUCGUUUGUUAAAAAUUUUAUAUUCUUUAUUAGAAGUGGAAUAACCAAGGAAGAUAGCUUCAUCAAAUUUUACAUCAAGCUUUCCUAAUUUAACUUUACCAUUAUUCAAAACAAAACACCA
Molecule: long non-coding RNA, 202 nt
Filed under: Elaeis guineensis (African oil palm)
Lineage: Eukaryota; Viridiplantae; Streptophyta; Magnoliopsida; Arecales; Arecaceae
Description: long non-coding RNA (EGUI_LNC045265)
Source: RNAcentral